Molecule: long non-coding RNA, 595 nt
Organism: Paramacrobiotus metropolitanus
Lineage: Eukaryota; Metazoa; Tardigrada; Eutardigrada; Parachela; Macrobiotidae
Exons: 3
Source: RefSeq, a predicted model, not a curated record
UUGAAUCCGCAAGUAAAAUUUUGAGUUCUGCAAAAUGCCAUUUUAAAACCGAUAAUUUACAGGAGGUUUUCUGCAUUUUUAUGGCCUUGUAGAAUUCGAUUAAUAUUGUUGGAUUUCCCAGUAUUUGUUAUACAAAAACCGUUUGCGGGUUAUAUUUAUAAUAUUAGGGCUUUUUUGAAAGACCACGAUGUAGAACUCGUGAAAAACAAAGCCUUGUUAUGGUAUCCAAGAGCAAGUAGUAGUUCUCAUAGCCAGACGCAUGUACGCGCGCUCAGGUUUGCGCGCGAGCUAGCACCAUGACGAGCCUUUUCCAACAUCGUCAUUCUUCCUUUCACUUCCUCUGACUUUGUGCUUCAUGAUGAUCCACUUACCAUAUAACUCUGCCAAUCAUUCAUUUGGGAAAAAACUUGGAUUUCCAGGAACUACGUUAAACUGCUGACUCAAUUUUCUUUAACCCGGACGAUUGCCAUCAGGUGCUUUCGACAACACGGAUUUCCAAGUCUUUCAGCCUACGCACAGUGAAAAAGAAACGUCCCUUACGGGUGGCGCCAGUUUUGCUAAUGCCAGCAAACGUCAAGCGCCUGCGCUCCAGUGC